RNAcentral lists this non-coding RNA (282 nucleotides) under Loigolactobacillus coryniformis. RNAcentral's name for it is "Lactobacillus coryniformis T-box sequence". It matches the Rfam family "T-box leader". Rfam says of the family: Uncharged tRNA acts as the effector for transcription antitermination of genes in the T-box leader family. T-boxes are found upstream of many aminoacyl-tRNA synthetase genes and some amino acid biosynthetic genes usually in Gram-positive bacteria. The record is from RNAcentral. Lineage: Bacteria; Bacillati; Bacillota; Bacilli; Lactobacillales; Lactobacillaceae.
AAUGAAGUUUUGAUUAGAAAAAGUAGCAAGCAAAUGUUUCGAGAGAGUAUCCAGACGGCUGUGAGGAUAUAGCAUAACUUGUGAACACACAUCUAUGAACUUUGGCGCUGAAUCACAGUAAGCACCAACGCAGGGUCUGCGUUAAAAACUGUUACAAGUUAAUUUGAUUCUAGUGUGACUAUCCAGCACAUGUUUUAAAAAUGACACUUAAUUUGCAACUUGAGGUCUGGCCUGUAAGGUCCAGAUAAACUUGAGGUGGCACCACGAUCAUUCGUCCUCGUA